GAACGCUGGCGGCAGGCUUAACACAUGCAAGUCGAGCGGUAACAGAGAGUAGCUUGCUACUUUGCUGACGAGCGGCGGACGGGUGAGUAACGCGUAGAAAUCUGCCUGGUAGUGGGGGAUAGCCCAGAGAAAUUUGGAUUAAUACCGCAUACGCCCUACGGGGGAAAGCAGGGGACCUUCGGGCCUUGCGCUAUCAGAUGAGUCUGCGUCGGAUUAGCUUGUUGGUGAGGUAAUGGCUCACCAAGGCGACGAUCCGUAGCUGGUCUGAGAGGAUGAUCAGCCACACUGGGACUGAGACACGGCCCAGACUCCUACGGGAGGCAGCAGUGGGGAAUAUUGCACAAUGGGCGAAAGCCUGAUGCAGCCAUGCCGCGUGUGUGAAGAAGGCCUUAGGGUUGUAAAGCACUUUCAGCAGUGAGGAAAGGUUGUAGCUUAAUACGCUAUAGCUGUGACGUUAACUGCAGAAGAAGGACCGGCUAACUCCGUGCCAGCAGCCGCGGUAAUACGGAGGCUCCGAGCGUUAAUCGGAAUUACUGGGCGUAAAGCGCGCGUAGGCGGUUUGUUAAGUCAGAUGUGAAAGCCCCGGGCUCAACCUGGGAACU
Molecule: ribosomal RNA, 602 nt
Filed under: uncultured Amphritea sp.
Lineage: Bacteria; Pseudomonadati; Pseudomonadota; Gammaproteobacteria; Oceanospirillales; Oceanospirillaceae
Description: bacterial SSU rRNA
Rfam family: Bacterial small subunit ribosomal RNA
Source: RNAcentral